GUCGGGAAGAUCCUCUGGAGGAGGGCCUGGCAACCCACUCCAGUAUGCUUGCUGAGAAAAUCCCAUGAACGGAGGAGCCUGGUGGGCUGCAGUCCGUGGGGUCGCAGAGUCAGACACAACUGAAGUGCCGGAGCUCCAGAGACUAGCAGGGCAAGGUUUCUGAGACCCAUCGGAUCUGGAAGUCAUUCAUGUUUCAACCUCCACCACUUUGCAUAUCAUAUUUGCUCAUUUUAAAGACUGUGGUUUGGACACCAAACAGCUGAAACUGGAAAUAAUUAAACCAAGGAACUCAGCCUCCCUUGUCCGUACCAGCAGGAGUGGCAUCGGCCAGGAUAAACUAAAACCCAGCCAGGCUGAAGUAGGUAUAAACAAAGAAAAUAUUGAGAAAGGAGAAGAGUGGAAUGUUGGCUUCUUUCAGAUUGGAAGAAUAGAACAAAAUAUCAGCUACAAAUGUGUCCUGUGGCCUGAGGCAUUGAAGCACCGCAGAGCCCCGCAAUAAUUUCCUGACAGAUCAGACAACCCACUUAUUCCAUGUCCCGGUUGUCCCAGUGACCUAGAUCAUUGUCAACAACAAAGGUGCUUUAGCUUUCAGUUUAAAAUAUCUGCUGGGUUUGCAAACUCAGAUUCACUUUGCCAUUUAGCUGAAAAUGCAUUUUAGGGUGCUGGAGUUUGCUUUCAUUCAUUCAUCCGCGCUUACUUAGUUCUCAGUGCAGAAGAAAGAGUGCCACCUACUGGAUGUGGGAUAGGAGGAGAAUAUG
Molecule: long non-coding RNA, 758 nt
Filed under: Cervus hanglu yarkandensis (Yarkand deer)
Lineage: Eukaryota; Metazoa; Chordata; Mammalia; Artiodactyla; Cervidae
Description: lncRNA (ENSCHYG00000004448.1)
Source: RNAcentral